UCUGUUAGGAUGCCCACGUAGGUGCUCAACAUCACCACCGGGAAGUCCCCCUAUGGCGCAAGGUGACCUGGCAGUGGUGGUGCACCGCCUUGCUUAUGGCGCCAAUGAGAUGGCGGGGUUGUUGCCCCGUGACGUCGGCGUCGGCUCCCACGACUCCAUCACCAGCUACCACUACAUGGGUGAGUCCCUGGUCUCUCCUUCCUCCUCUAUCUGCUCUGGCACAUCUAGCCUUCGAGCUGAGUGAUUUACUGUCAAGUGAUUAUUUUUCAUGUCUGUUGGAAUAUGAUAACAAACACCGAUGUAAAGAUGAAAUAUUGGUCAUGUUAAAUAGGUCACUGUUACUCAUCCAAAAAGGUUAUUGUUUAAGAACUUGUUACUUUGUUGGAUAUUGAUUGUAUGCCACUACACCCGCAGAAAUUUCCCUGAAUCUCUCAGAUGAAAAAAUAUCGUGAAUAAAUACUACAGUAGCUUAUUAGAAGUAAAAUAUCAUGGCUUCGGCCUUGCUUCGUGUGCAACAAUGUAACACAUUUUUUGGACAUCGGGAACUAUAUGUGUUCAUAUCCGUAUUGACCUGCUUCACAUUUGUGACUGAACUAAUUGUGCUCAUAUCUAUUGAUGCCCAUAUCUUUGUUCCAAUUAGUUCAGAGGUAGAAGGUCAACAUGGUACCCGAACAAAAUGGUCAAUAUGAUAGGCGGCAAAAGCUCUUCUUUGUCUCUUGCGAUCUUUUCCUGAAGAGGUGCUUGAUUAGCUUGCGAACAAUUACCCAUCAGCAGGUGCUCAAAAUAUCACGUAUUGUUCAAUUAUGUCAAACAAGUGCUUUUGAAAAAUUAAAGGAACGCGAAAACAAGACUAUCAUUUAUCUAACUUAUUAAUUAGGUAACAUAGUACCAUUUUGCUCUAAGGCUUUUCACCAUCAGUUUUCAGGUCGACAUGGUGAGCUUUAUUUGUGCAGAGAAAUCUGCAGCAUGUAGAUUCUCCUUAUCAACCCCAUCAGUAGUUUCACCAAACAACAAUGCAGACUUGAAUCCAACUGAGUCAACUAAAUGUGUGGUCUUAUCGAACCAUGUAUGGCUGCGAGGUUGUGGAAUCAGAUAAAACAGAGUACAUUUCCAUUGCUCUUUAUAUAAAGAGGGGGAUAAGGAAUGCUUGCCUAGCUCUAUACUCUAGAGAAGCUAACUAACCUGAAAGUUAAUUUCACCAAUAAGGUUAAUUUUGAGUGCCUUUAGUAGGACUAGGCCUGGGAGGCAUCCGAGAAUGCAUGCCUUCAUGAUCUUUAUGUGUCAGGACAUCGUUGUUUGUUCAUCUAGAGACAACCGUAUUACAAGUCUCCCAAUAGCAUUCCGUUUCACUUCUCUGCGAAAUAGGUGUAAUUUUGUUCCAGUCCUUCCUCUUAGAAAAAUAUGGUCAACAAAAAUGUGUCAUUUCUACUACACACCAACGAUGUCCUGGAGCUUGGCGGUGCAGCUCUAGAACUCUGGUCAAACUGGUUGAGAAAAUAUGACAAAUAGUAAGCUGCAGCCCAAAUGAAUUUUCGCAGUAAACUUGUCAUCUCAUAUAAAUUUGAGAGAAGGGAAUCAUCAUGCCAUGUCUGGCUCUAGAUUCUAUAGAAAUCACAUUGACUUCGCUGGGAGAAAUAGGAGUUACUGUAUGCUAUGCCAUGAUAUCCAAAAUCGACGCAAGUUAAUAUGAGGUUUCUUUAAAAGUAACAUCCAAAGUUUGCAUUCAUUAUCUUCCAGCAUAUGUACUAUGAACUGGGAGACUCGUAAAUACAGCAGCAUAUAUUGAAAUGUUGCAACAGACUGAUUGACCUUCAAGGAGGUUUCCAAUUGCAAGCUACAGAGACAGAGAACUUCUAUUAUCAUCACAAUAUUACUUUUUAGCUUUCAUUUGUUAUGUUACUAAUAAUGUGGUUUGGUUCAUGAAAUCAGAAACAACAUCUCUUUUGUGAAUGAAAUAAUAAUUCUGUGUUGUUUAGCAGAUCAAUUUUUCUAGAACCUGAAUAGACUGACCAGCUUGUUGGUCAAGUAAUAUCUACUAUAUAAAGGGGAACAUGCUGCAGUAAAGCCAAGAAGAAUAUUACCAUUUACUUUAUAUACUUUAUUUACAGUAAUUAGAGUUAAUAUGAGUGGUAGAUCCUUUCAAGGUGCCUCGACAUCUUCUGUUCCCGUUGAAGCGCUCACAACUCUUUGCAAAACUGAGCCACUCUUCUUGUUGAAGGGGAGCCCCUCAUCUUUUGCAUCUUCUCUUUUCCCUGGAGAAGCGCCAGAACUUUCAACAUUAGGCUUGAAUAUUUCUUCCGUCAGUUCAUGCCUCAUGCCUUCCCAGCUGGCGCCUUACUAGAAUUUUAGAAUUCUCACAAAUACAAGAGUCUAUACUUAAUCUCCAUGCUCUGUGAACAAGAACUUCAGCUUAUUUAACCCUGCUAUGGAAUAAAUAGCUCCAGGAUCACAAUUAGCCUUUUCUUUUUCUUUAUAUGUUCAGGGCACUUGUCCACAAGGAUUCCUGGUUCCGGCUUCUCGGGGCACUUGUGAACAUA
This 2537-nucleotide long non-coding RNA is filed under the name Triticum aestivum (bread wheat). RNAcentral's name for it is "long non-coding RNA (TAES_LNC009666)". Lineage: Eukaryota; Viridiplantae; Streptophyta; Magnoliopsida; Poales; Poaceae. The record is from RNAcentral.